Molecule: ribosomal RNA, 428 nt
Filed under: uncultured bacterium
Lineage: Bacteria
Description: bacterial SSU rRNA
Rfam family: Bacterial small subunit ribosomal RNA
Source: RNAcentral
GUCGAGAAUCUUCCGCAAUGCGCGAAAGCGUGACGGAGCGACACCGCGUGAUGGAUGAAGUCCUUCGGGGCGUAAACAUCUUUUAUAAAGGAGGAAAUUUUUGACGUUACUUUAUGAAUAAGGGGCUCUCAAUCUCGUGCCAGCAGGAGCGGUAAUACGAGAGCCUCAAGCGUUAUCCGGAAUCAUUGGGCGUAAAGGGUGCGUAGGUGGUUUGAUUAGUCUCCCGUUAAAACUGCGAGCUUAACUCGAAAAGAGCGGGGGAAACGGUCAAACUAGAGUAUGUGAGAGGUGUGUGGAACUCAUGGUGUAGGGGUGAAAUCCGUUGAUAUCAUGGGGAACACCAAAAGCGAAGGCAGCACACUGGCACAUCACUGACACUGAGGCACGAAACCUAAGGUAGCGAAUGGGAUUAGAAACCCCGGUAGUCC